UAGGGAAUCUUCCGCAAUGGACGCAAGUCUGACGGAGCAACGCCGCGUGAGUGAAGAAGGUUUUCGGAUCGUAAAACUCUGUUGUUAGAGAAGAACAAGUGCUAGAGUAACUGUUAGCGCCUUGACGGUAUCUAACCAGAAAGCCACGGCUAACUACGUGCCAGCAGCCGCGGUAAUACGUAGGUGGCAAGCGUUGUCCGGAUUUAUUGGGCGUAAAGCGAGCGCAGGCGGUUCCUUAAGUCUGAUGUGAAAGCCCCCGGCUCAACCGGGGAGGGUCAUUGGAAACUGGGGAACUUGAGUGCAGAAGAGGAGAGUGGAAUUCCAUGUGUAGCGGUGAAAUGCGUAGAUAUAUGGAGGAACACCAGUGGCGAAGGCGACUCUCUGGUCUGUAACUGACGCUGAGGCUCGAAAGCGUGGGCAGCAAACAGGAUUAGAUACCCUGGUAGUCCACGCCGUAAACGAUGAGUGCUAAGUGUUGGAGGGUUUCCGCCCUUCAGUGCUGCAGUUAACGCAUUAAGCACUCCGCCUGGGGAGUACGACCGCAAGGUUG
RNAcentral lists this ribosomal RNA (550 nucleotides) under uncultured bacterium. Its description in RNAcentral is "bacterial SSU rRNA". It matches the Rfam family "Bacterial small subunit ribosomal RNA", at positions 355 to 896 of the family's 1533-position model. The record is from RNAcentral.